RNAcentral lists this ribosomal RNA (249 nucleotides) under uncultured bacterium. RNAcentral's name for it is "partial 16S ribosomal RNA". It matches the Rfam family "Bacterial small subunit ribosomal RNA", at positions 29 to 261 of the family's 1533-position model. The record is from RNAcentral.
AACGAACGCUGGCGGCGUGGAUUAGGCAUGCAAGUCGAACGUGAAAGGGGCUUCGGCCCUGAGUAAAGUGGCAAACGGGUGAGUAACGCGUGGAGAACCUGCCCGGAAGCGGGGGAUAACACUUCUAACGAGGUGCUAAUACCGCAUGUGUCUGCGUGAGCGCAUGCUCGCGCAGGUAAACGUGGCCUCUGCUCGCAAGCUACGGCUUCCGGAUGGCUCUGCGUCUCAUUAGCUAGUUGGUGGGGUAAC